ACGUUAGCGGCGGACGGGUGAGUAACACGCGGGUAACCUACCUAUAAGACUGGGAUAACUUCGGGAAACCGGAGCUAAUACCGGAUAAUAUUUCGAACCGCAUGGUUCGAUAGUGAAAGAUGGUUUUGCUAUCACUUAUAGAUGGACCCGCGCCGUAUUAGCUAGUUGGUAAGGUAACGGCUUACCAAGGCGACGAUACGUAGCCGACCUGAGAGGGUGAUCGGCCACACUGGAACUGAGACACGGUCCAGACUCCUACGGGAGGCAGCAGUA
This 273-nucleotide ribosomal RNA is filed under the name uncultured Staphylococcus sp. Its description in RNAcentral is "partial 16S ribosomal RNA". It matches the Rfam family "Bacterial small subunit ribosomal RNA", at positions 89 to 355 of the family's 1533-position model. The record is from RNAcentral. Lineage: Bacteria; Bacillati; Bacillota; Bacilli; Caryophanales; Staphylococcaceae.